This is a long non-coding RNA of Onychostoma macrolepis, 413 nucleotides long. RefSeq lists it as uncharacterized. The record is from RefSeq and is a predicted model, not a curated record. NCBI's taxonomy places the organism in Eukaryota, Metazoa, Chordata, Actinopteri, Cypriniformes, Cyprinidae. The transcript has 5 exons.
CAAACAAGCCUUAUGAAUGCAAUGCCCAAUAUGGGAGCUCUAGUAAAAUGGAUAUGGUGUAAAUAAGAUUUAGAGGAUUUAUUUUGUCCCCUUGUGGAUAAAGGCCUGAAGUGUGUGCUGAUUUUUGGAGUUCCAGCAAAAGUUGCGAAGAAAUCCUGCAUGAAGAUGGCAGCUUGGAUAAUGCUGUCAGCUGUUUGGGGUUGGCUGAAGUAGCUCUGGCUUAUGCUCGAGCAGGAUGCCAUAUCAUCACCCCUUCAGAUAUGAUGGAUGGACGAAUUGCAGCCAUUAAGCAAGCUCUAAUCGCCAAUAAUCUUGGAAACAAGGUGUCAGUGCUGAGCUACAGUGCUAAAUUUACCUCUUGCUACUAUGGACCAUUCAGGUAGUGUACUUCUAAUGAUUCCCUUUAGAAUGCA